AGUGAGAAACUCCCUCGCCGAAAGUCUAAGGUUUCCUGAAGUCAAGUUAAUCUGCUCAGGGUUAGUCGGCCCCUAAGGCGAGGCUGAAAAGCGUAGUCGAUGGGAAACGGGUUAAUAUUCCCGUACCUCCAUAUGUUCCGAUGGAAUGACGCAUAGGGCGAAGCUCAGCCGGGCGAUGGUAGUCCCGGUUCAAGCAACGAGCUGAAGAGAAUGAUAGGCAAAUCCGUCAUUUGAGGUGAGUUGUGAACACGAGCGAACCUACGGGGGAGCGAAGUGAGUGGAGUCGUCGUGCCAAGAAAUAAUUUCUCAGGAUAAACAUAUGGGGACCGUACCGCAAACCGACACAGGUAGGCGAGCUGAAUAUGCUAAGGCGCUCGGAAGAAUUCGCGUUAAGGAACUCGGCAAAAUGCACACGUAACUUCGGGAGAAGUGUGGCCUUUGCUGGAAGUCAAAUUUUAGCGAAGGUUGCAGAGAACUGGUUCAAUCGACUGUUUACCAAAAACACAGGUCUGUGCGAAUCUGCAAAGAGAUGUAUACGGACUGACACCUGCCCGGUGCUGGAAGGUUAAGAGGAGCUGUUAGCGCAAGCGAAGCAGUGAAUUGAAGCCCCAGUAAACGGCGGCCGUAACUAUAACGGUCCUAAGGUAGCGAAAUUCCUUGUCGGGUAAGUUCCGACCUGCACGAAUGGUGUAACGACUUGGGCACUGUCUCAACCAGGAACUCGGUGAAAUUGUAGUGGCGGUGAAGAUGCCGCCUACCCGCGAACGGACGGAAAGACCCCGUGAACCUUUACUGCAUCUUGGUAUUGUAAUUUGGUAAAGUAUGUGUAGGAUAGGUGGGAGACUAAGAAUAUGGUACGCCAGUAUCGUAGGAGUCAUUGUUGAAAUACCACCCUUAUUUUAUUGAGUUACUAACGCGUUUAGUUAUCCUGAAUGCGGACAUUGCCAGGAGGGCAGUUUGACUGGGGCGGUCGCCUCCUAAAAAGUAACGGAGGCUUACAAAGGUUCCCUCAGGCUGGUUGGUAAUCAGCCGAAGAGCAUAAAGGUAUAAGGGAGCUUGACUGCGAGACCGACGGGUCGAGCAGAUGGGAAACCAGGUCUUAGUGAUCCGGCGGCUCUGAAUGGAAGGGCCGUUGCUCAAAGGAUAAAAGGUACUCCGGGGAUAACAGGCUGAUACCGCCCAAGAGUUCAUAUCGACGGCGGUGUUUGGCACCUCGAUGUCGGCUCAUCACAUCCUGGGGCUGAAGCAGGUCCCAAGGGUAUGGCUGUUCGCCAUUUAAAGUGGUACGCGAGCUGGGUUUAGAACGUCGUGAGACAGUUCGGUCCCUAUCUACCGUGGGCGUUGGAGACUUGAGGGAAGCUGUUCUUAGUACGAGAGGACCGGAAUGGACACACCUCUGGUGUUUCGGUUAUGACGCCAGUCGUAUUGCCGAGUAGCUAUGUGUGGAAAGGAUAACCGCUGAAAGCAUCUAAGCGGGAAGCCCCUCCCAAGAUUAGGUCUCCCUGACAGUUUAACUGUCCUAAAGAUCCCUCGGAGACUACGAGGUUGAUAGGCACGGUGUGGAAGAGUAGUGAUACUUGAAGCUAACGUGUACUAAUUGAUCGUGAGGCUUGACCAU
RNAcentral lists this ribosomal RNA (1618 nucleotides) under metagenome. Its description in RNAcentral is "bacterial LSU rRNA". It matches the Rfam family "Bacterial large subunit ribosomal RNA", at positions 1320 to 2925 of the family's 2925-position model. The record is from RNAcentral.